This 253-nucleotide long non-coding RNA is filed under the name Rosa chinensis. RNAcentral's name for it is "sRNA RchiOBHm_Chr3g0481671". The record is from RNAcentral. Lineage: Eukaryota; Viridiplantae; Streptophyta; Magnoliopsida; Rosales; Rosaceae.
UGAGAAACAAAAAAGAAAACGAGCCUUAAGUAAGUAUCCUCAUCGGCUGUCACGUAAAGGGUACGCUGGAUUGGAGGAAGAACUGUCUGCAACUAUGGAUGAAGCUGAACUUGAUCGUGCAACCAUGUGGAUCAAAGCACGUCAAGAUAAGAAUGGAGGAUUUAAAGAUCCUUUAGUAGAGGAGAAGGCCAAAGAAAUUGUAAGCUGAUUUGAAGAAAAAAGAGGCUGAGGGAGAGUUAAGCACUUCUGGUUC